AAGUGGGCCACAUCCCUGCAAGACUGCUGACGCUCGCUUUAAGUGUGAUCUGGCAGAAAGAGAGAAUGUUCCUCGGAGGCCUUUGUGUCCUGCUGCUCCUGGUUUUGUCCAGUUUGGAUGUGCACUGCGAAAGUCACGGUUCUGGCCAUCAGGACGAGCUGAGGAUGGUGUUGGUCGGGAAAACCGGUUCUGGCAAGAGCGCCAGUGGCAACACCAUUCUGGGACAUGAAGUCUUCAAACGAGAUAUCUCCCCGGAAUCAGUGACCCAAGACUGCGCCAGAGGAGAGGCUCACCUGGAUGGCGUUGACCUCGUCGUCCUGGACACACCAGGAUUGUUUGACACCAACAAAACCGACGACCACGUGAAAUCCACAAUUGAGAAAUGCAUAGACCUGUCCGUCCCUGGUCCUCACGCGUUCCUACUGGUCAUCAGCCUCAAGUCUAGACACACUCAGGAGGAGAGGGAGGCGGUUGAGUGGAUUCAGGACAACUUUGGCGAUGAUGCUGACAUGUAUACCAUCGUCCUCUUCACGCACGGCGAUUUGCUUGAUGGUAAGACUGUGGAGGAUUUUGUGAGGGAGAGCAAGGAGCUACGAAGACUGAUCAACCGCUGUGGAGAUCGAUAUCACGCGCUCAUCAACAACAAGAGGAGCAACAAGGGGCAGGUGAAGGCACUCCUGAGGAAGAUAGAGGGCAUGGUGGAGAAAAACGGUGGACAACACUAUACCAAUGACAUGUACAAAAAAGCACAGGAAAGACUGGAAGAGAGAAAGAAAGAGGAAGAGCAAAGAAAGAGGGAGGAGGAAGAAAGAAUAAGGAAGCAAGGAGAGAAAAUUGCUUACUGCAAACUUGCAGCUACCCUGGCAGCAGCGGGUUUGGUUGGCGGUGCGUACAUGGGCUCAUGUGUUCUGACGGCAGCAGCUUCUAUUCUGGGGCUGACUCAAGGUUACGAUUGCACAGAUGUGUUUUUUUAGCUCAUCCUGAGAGUCUGCUCUGUGGUUUUGUGGGGAACUAUCGUGAUCUGAGUUUUCUCUGGGAAUUUAUUUGCACUGGAGUUGUUUUAGUGUAAGACGCCCUCCUUGCUUCCUGUGAAGAAGCCUUGGAGGGGGAGUCACUGCAGGACUGCGGUGGAGGCGAUGGUGUAGUGAAGCAGGUACAAAGUGGCUCUCAGCUUUGACAACCCCCUCCUACACCCUGUGUGAUGGAGGACACCGUCUGUCAUGGACUCAGGGAAUAAGAUUUGACAACAAUGUAGCAGUUUAAAGUUUACUGCCCGCCCCUGUCAGAUCUACUGUAUCAGCACAAGAAGCUUUGUUUGUUUGUCGGACUUUUUUGAUCUAACUGUAAAACGCUAUUGAACAUUCCACUUCAAUAAAGUCUA
Molecule: RNA transcript, 1381 nt
Organism: Synchiropus splendidus (mandarinfish)
Lineage: Eukaryota; Metazoa; Chordata; Actinopteri; Syngnathiformes; Callionymidae
Gene name: GTPase IMAP family member 7-like
Exons: 4
Source: RefSeq, a predicted model, not a curated record